This 920-nucleotide ribosomal RNA is filed under the name Enterococcus faecium. Its description in RNAcentral is "bacterial SSU rRNA". It matches the Rfam family "Bacterial small subunit ribosomal RNA", at positions 54 to 946 of the family's 1533-position model. Lineage: Bacteria; Bacillati; Bacillota; Bacilli; Lactobacillales; Enterococcaceae. The record is from RNAcentral.
AAUGCAAGUCGACGCUUCUUUUUCCACCGGAGCUUGCUCCACCGGAAAAAGAGGAGUGGCGAACGGGUGAGUAACACGUGGGUAACCUGCCCAUCAGAAGGGGAUAACACUUGGAAACAGGUGCUAAUACCGUAUAACAAUCGAAACCGCAUGGUUUUGAUUUGAAAGGCGCUUUCGGGUGUCGCUGAUGGAUGGACCCGCGGUGCAUUAGCUAGUUGGUGAGGUAACGGCUCACCAAGGCCACGAUGCAUAGCCGACCUGAGAGGGUGAUCGGCCACAUUGGGACUGAGACACGGCCCAAACUCCUACGGGAGGCAGCAGUAGGGAAUCUUCGGCAAUGGACGAAAGUCUGACCGAGCAACGCCGCGUGAGUGAAGAAGGUUUUCGGAUCGUAAAACUCUGUUGUUAGAGAAGAACAAGGAUGAGAGUAACUGUUCAUCCCUUGACGGUAUCUAACCAGAAAGCCACGGCUAACUACGUGCCAGCAGCCGCGGUAAUACGUAGGUGGCAAGCGUUGUCCGGAUUUAUUGGGCGUAAAGCGAGCGCAGGCGGUUUCUUAAGUCUGAUGUGAAAGCCCCCGGCUCAACCGGGGAGGGUCAUUGGAAACUGGGAGACUUGAGUGCAGAAGAGGAGAGUGGAAUUCCAUGUGUAGCGGUGAAAUGCGUAGAUAUAUGGAGGAACACCAGUGGCGAAGGCGGCUCUCUGGUCUGUAACUGACGCUGAGGCUCGAAAGCGUGGGGAGCAAACAGGAUUAGAUACCCUGGUAGUCCACGCCGUAAACGAUGAGUGCUAAGUGUUGGAGGGUUUCCGCCCUUCAGUGCUGCAGCUAACGCAUUAAGCACUCCGCCUGGGGAGUACGACCGCAAGGUUGAAACUCAAAGGAAUUGACGGGGGCCCGCACAGCGGUGGAGCAUGUGGUU